AUUGUUUUGGCAGAAAAGUGUGUUAGAUUUAGAAUCUUUUUAUGUAGAAUAAGUUCUAUAAAC
This 63-nucleotide transfer RNA is filed under the name Scolytinae sp. BMNH 1274292. RNAcentral's name for it is "tRNA-Leu". Lineage: Eukaryota; Metazoa; Arthropoda; Insecta; Coleoptera; Curculionidae. The record is from RNAcentral.